RNAcentral lists this long non-coding RNA (2804 nucleotides) under Marmota monax (woodchuck). Lineage: Eukaryota; Metazoa; Chordata; Mammalia; Rodentia; Sciuridae. The record is from RNAcentral.
GGAAUUUAAACUCAGAGUAAUGCAUUAUUUCUACCUCUUAUCUCCCUCAACAAUUUCAAGACUAAAAUUUAGAGGUACUUUAAUAGGUAGUUACUACAUACAUAUGUUUAAUUACCAAAAAUAUUCAGCAAUCAAGAGAAAAUCAUGUUAUUUUAAAUAACGCAUUAUAUAAUGUAAAGUCUACUUAUAGUAAUGAAUUCAUGCAUUUUGACAGUUUAUCUCAUUUGUUUCUGAAUCUCUGCAGUUAAGUAUUAUCUUUGCAAAUGACUGAUUUAAUAUCACAGCUUCCUGUGUGAUGAGCCAUUUAUUCCUCUUUUAUUUUUUGUAUAUUUCUUUUGCAAUAUUUUUGUAUAUUUCUAUAUCAUUUUGUAUAUUUCUAUACUUUUGUAUAUUUCUAUAUCAUUGUUGGCAUGCUAAAAUCUGUUAUAUGAUGAGUAAAUAUUAUUAUUUUAAUGUAAGAAGAAAAAUCUCUGCUUUUAUUUCCAUAAAUAGCCUGGAGGUUCCUGGAUCCUGCCUACUUUUAACCCAUUGUUUAACUGACCUGAUGAUGGAACAGAAAUAAAAUAUAUGGAAGAACAUAAAUAAAUAUAUGAGGAAUUGGUGCUGGGCUCUUGUUGCUUCUAAGGGGAUGAAGAAGACAUAGAAGAGUAAACUGCAGCUUCUAGCAUCAUAACUGCUAAAUAAAUGUUUAUUGAAAGAAUGAAAAAAAUGGAUGAAUGAAUUAUAAAACUGGAAAAUGACUAUAAUGAUCUGUAAAAUCAUUGAGUACUUACCAUAUACCAGGCACUGUUUUAGCCCUUUAUGGAUGUCAUCAUUUUUAAUCAAUACACUAAUUCUAUUACAUAGGAACUAUUUCUUGUUCUCCAUUUUACAGAUGAAGAAACCGAAGUUCAGAAAGAUUAAGUAAUUAAUAGUAUCAAGGCCCUGUCCCUUUUAUAGCUCUGUAGCAUGUUCCUAAUUUCAUAGCCCUGGGGCAGGUCACCUAAUUUCAUACCAUAAUAGCCACUCUUACUGAGCCAGCCAAGGUGGUCUAUUUGUCUUUUCUGUUUUUAUUGCCACCUGCUGGUGAUGGUAUCUGCUUUUACACUAUGAUUGUCUCUUCCAGCUCCUUUUAUUUGUGACUUCUUAUUCCAAAGGUUGUUGGCACCAAUUGUCAGUGUACCUCUUCAGCCUUAACUUGGAAUAAGAAUAGGUCAGAACAGGCUGUCGAUUUCAAACACAACAUCAAGACCAGUCCAGUGCUUGGGUUUCAGGCCUGUGGAUUUCUGUCUGGAUUUUCACCCCGGUUAUCUUAACCUUGUAAGCAAAAGCAAAAUCCUGCUCAUGUUCUGUCCAGCCAGUUUACAGUUUAUUGACAUUAUGGAAGCCUUCAAUUCAUAAAUUCUGUUGUAUUUGGUCUAAUCUAAAAAGAUGUGAUGCUAGCUGUAGGUUUUUUUUUUUUUUUAGAGAGAGAGAGAAUUUUUUUUUAAUAUUUAUUUUUUAGUUCUCAGCGGACACAACAUCUUUGUUGGUAUGUGGUGCUGAUGAUCGAACCCGGGCCCCUCGCAUGCCAGGCGAGUGCACUACCGCUUGAGCCACAUCCCCAACCCAGCUGUAGGUUUUUAAAAUAAUAAUUUUUUUCCAAUUUGCUGUGAAUGGGCUUUUUUUUUUUUUUUGUCAGUGCUUUUUUCCUACAUCAGUUAAUGUGGUCAUGUGGGGUUUUUUUUCUUUAGUCUUUUGAUAUAAUGGAUUAUACUGAUUGGCUUUUGAAUGUUGAUCAACCCUUGAAUAUCUGAAAUAAAGCCCACAUUUUCAUAGUAUAGAAUUAUUUUAUACAUUAAUUCAUUUUGCUAACAUUUUGUUGAAGAAUUUUGUGUCUAACUUCAUGAGAAUUAUUGGCCUAUAGUUUUAUUUUUCUGGUUCUGGUAUUGUGGGAAUGCCUAUCUCAUAAAAUGAGUUGGGAAGUAUCCUCUCUUCCAUUUAUUCCUAUUUUUCUGGAAGAAACUAUGCAAAAUUGGUGUUAAAUACUUAUGUAAAUAUUUGGUAAGUUUUCCGGUGAAACUGUCAGGACCUGGAGAUGUGUUUUCAUUCCAGAUUUCUAUGUAUUGUGUUUUCAUUUUCAUUCCACUUUCUAGUUUCCCUUAUGAUUUCUUGGACUCUGUGGGUUAUUUACAAGUCUGUUGCUUAUUUUACAAGUUGUUGGUAAUUUUGUAGAUAUUUUUCUGCUACUAAUUUCUAGUUUAACUCCAUUUUUUCAGACCAUACAUUGCUGACUUUAAUUCCUUUAAAUUUUGAGAUUUGUUGAAUAUCCCAGAAUAUGUUCUAUCUAACUGUAUGUUUCAAAUGAACUUUUUAAAAAAGAGUUAUGUGUUCUGCUGUUUGGAGUAGAGUGUUCUGUAAAUCUAAAUCAUUGUCACGUUGGUUGACAGUAUUCAAAGUUCCCAUAACCUGACUGUCUACUUGUCACAUCAGUUACCUAUACUGAUGAGUGGAAAUCUGUGAUAAAGAUUUCUAUUCAGCUCUAACAAUUUUUGCUGCAUGUACUUUGAUAUUAUGUUACUAGGUAAAGGCAUAUUGAGGUUGUUAUGUCCUCUUGGUACACUGAUAUCUUUGUCAUUAUGAAAUAUUCCUCUAUAGGCAGGGGUUGUGGCUCAGUGGUAGAGUGGUUGCCUAGCAUGUGUGAGGCACUGGGUUCGAUUCUCAGCACCAUGAAUGAAUAAAUAAAUAAAGGUCCAUUGACUCCCCCACUCCAAAAAAAAAAAAAAAAGAAAAGAAAAGAAAGAGAUAUUCCUCCUUUUUCCCCUAGUAAUAUUCCUUACUUGGAA